Molecule: ribosomal RNA, 38 nt
Filed under: Glycosmis oligantha
Lineage: Eukaryota; Viridiplantae; Streptophyta; Magnoliopsida; Sapindales; Rutaceae
Description: partial 26S ribosomal RNA
Source: RNAcentral
UUGCGACCCCAGGUCAGGCGGGAUUACCCGCUGAGUUU